RNAcentral lists this unclassified non-coding RNA (268 nucleotides) under Hevea brasiliensis (rubber tree). The record is from RNAcentral. Lineage: Eukaryota; Viridiplantae; Streptophyta; Magnoliopsida; Malpighiales; Euphorbiaceae.
AAGGAUUACAUCAAAAUUGAAGCAGAAUUUGCAGUUCCUAAAAUUAUGGAAGGAGUUCCAAAAGAGAAAAUCCAGUACUCCAAAGCCUGCUACUAGUUAUCGUAAGAAGAAGGUGGAGAAGGAAGAACUGCCUGACGAUGAAGAGAUCUACCGCGAUCCUACAUUGGCACUAUACUAUACAAAUCAGGUAUUAGAUACUGUUGUUCCAGUCUUGCUUGUUGAUGGAUAUAAUGUGUGUGGAUAUUGGCCAAAGUUGAAGAAGCAUUUU